Brassica napus (rape) is the source of this 1848-nucleotide RNA transcript. It is a transcript of the gene named PGR5-like protein 1A, chloroplastic, with no coding region annotated. The record is from RefSeq and is a predicted model, not a curated record. Lineage: Eukaryota; Viridiplantae; Streptophyta; Magnoliopsida; Brassicales; Brassicaceae. The transcript is spliced from 7 exons.
AUGAAGAUCAGAGCCAUCCACUCCCUUUUCUCCGCCGUUUCUCGGAAACCCACCACUUGUUUCUCGUCGUGGAGGACUCAAUGGUCUCUGCUCAGCUGUGGAAGAACUGUUUCCUUGAGAAAAAAAUCUUCUUGUUGCCUCCAAAAACCACCACAGAGCAAUCAGGUUAAGUGGGAGGAGAAGAUGUGGAUAGAAACAUCAUGCCGUAUUGCAGCAUCAACAAGGCUGAGAAGAGUUGAUGUGGGAAGGAAUCAGUGUUGUCAUUGUAAGUAAUCAACUAUUAUUUUUGUUUUUGGUUUCUUAGGGUAAAGGCUUCAUUUUUGGUUUGGUUAAAGGAAACAGUAUGUUCUGAUGAACAGAGAUUGUUGGAAGCUUCAAUGGCUUGUGUUGAAAUCCGAUCCUCAAUGAUGAAGAAUUUGAUCAGCUCAAACUCAAAGUUAAGAUGGAUGGUAGUGAGAUUGUGUGUGAGGGUCCAAGGUGCAGUCUAGGUAGUAAGAAGGAAAGCAAUGUUGUGAUCAAGCAAAGUUGGGGAACAAAUACCCAUUACUCAAAGCAUUGAAUUCAAGGUCAAAGUCAAGAAUGUUGGUGCCAGUUUUGUCAAGAUCAUCAGAGACGCGUUGCAUCAGGCGUUUAUGCCGAAGCAGGAGUGCGAGAGCCUCAGGGAGGAAGAAGAUAUAGCUUUGAUUAAGCUUCAGCGACAGUGGGUUUCAUUUGCGUUGUCAUCUUCACUGCACGAUCUUCACCUUGAAAAUUGUGUUUCCUUCGAAUGUUCUGAAGAGGCCGUUCUGCGGCGACGUAAAGCUACAGCCUUUGAAUAUGUAUGGCAACUCUGAUGUGUAUCCAGGUGCUUUUUACUUGACGGAUCAAGAGACUGUGGAUUUCUACUGGAUGGUUGUGUUCCUUCCGUCGAUGAUGAUCUUCUUAGUGUCAUCUGUUUAUCUUGUAGCAGGAAUUUUUGUGGCUUAUUCGGCUCCUCACCGUCAUUGUUGAAAAUAACUAUUGUGCUUCAAGAAGAGGUGGGGUUCGUUGCCUGUCAAUCCUGAAUGUUGUGUUUGCUAUCAUCUACGGUCUCCUCGCUAUAUUUCUCGGCUCAAGCCUGCUGGCACUAGGAAGCAGCUGUUCUGUGCCACUGUUUUGGUGCUACGAGAUAUCUUCAUGGGGUUUGGUAAUUUUGUAUGCUGGAACUGCUUUCUUCCUUAGGAGAAGAGCAGACGCUUUAACUAUUGACGAAGGAGAGUUUGGGAACAGAAAUCAUCAGGGCUUGGAGAUGCUUGAAGCUAAUCCUUUGGAAUUCACACCAGAUGUCGAAAGACGAGUGAACCAAGGGUUUAAAGCAUGGAUGGGUAAUCUUUGUUAUCAUCUGAUGAAGAAGACGAACCUUAGUAUUACAAUGAAGUUCCCAAUGUAACAGCGCAUACUCUUUCUAGCCGGCAAAGAUCAUGAUUCUUGAGAAGAAGUAUUUGGUAUGAUGGUAACAAAGACAGAUAGUCACCUCAAGAGAUGGUUUCUUCAGAGACUGAGCUCACCAAAUUUUUGCCUUGGACUGAUCAUGAGAUGAUUGUGGAUCCAGAAGAUAAAUCAGAGCAAGUAGCCAGUAGGAGUGUUGAGGUUGUAGAUAUACAUACAGUGUAUCAUCAAAACUGGGUUUGGUCAGUCCACCGUCUGUUUUGAUCUUUUACAUUGGUUUCGGAAUCUUGAAGUUGGAGUGUAGGCCUAACUGUACAUUUUGACCGUACAGUAACCUUCAUAUAUUCACAUUAAAGUAAGCCAAAAAAUGACGUUCAACAGUGUUUGAAAUUCAUACAAUGUAAAAGUUAAUUUAUUGAGAACAAAUAUCUUUUGACCGUA